UGGGGAAUAUUGGACAAUGGGCGAAAGCCUGAUCCAGCCAUGCCGCAUGAGUGAAGAAGGCUUUUGGGUUGUAAAGCUCUUUUAGUGAGGAAGAUAAUGACGGUACUCACAGAAGAAGUCCUGGCUAACUCCGUGCCAGCAGCCGCGGUAAUACGGAGAGGGCUAGCGUUAUUCGGAAUUAUUGGGCGUAAAGGGCGCGUAGGCUGGUUAGUAAGUUAAAAGUGAAAUCCCGAGGCUUAACCUUGGAACUGCUUUUAAAACUGCUAACCUAGAGAUUGAAAGAGGAUAGAGGAAUUCCUAGUGUAGAGGUGAAAUUCGUAAAUAUUAGGAGGAACACCAGUGGCGAAGGCGUCUAUCUGGUUCAAAUCUGACGCUGAGGCGCGAAGGCGUGGGGAGCAAACA
Molecule: ribosomal RNA, 402 nt
Filed under: uncultured bacterium
Lineage: Bacteria
Description: bacterial SSU rRNA
Rfam family: Bacterial small subunit ribosomal RNA
Source: RNAcentral